AGAUUGAACGCUGGCGGCAGGCCUAACACAUGCAAGUCGAGCGGUAGAGAGGUGCUUGCAUCUCUUGAGAGCGGCGGACGGGUGAGUAAUGCCUAGGAAUCUGCCCUAGUGGUGGGGGGAUAACGUUCGGAAACGGACGCUAAUACCGCAUACGUCCUACGGGAGAAAGCGGGGGACCUUCGGGCCUCGCGCCAUUAGAUGAGCCUAGGUCGGAUUAGCUAGUUGGUGAGGUAAUGGCUCACCAAGGCGACGAUCCGUAACUGGUCUGAGAGGAUGAUCAGUCACACUGGAACUGAGACACGGUCCAGACUCCUACGGGAGGCAGCAGUGGGAAUAUUGGACAAUGGGCGAAAGCCUGAUCCAGCCAUGCCGCGUGUGUGAAGAAGGUCUUCGGAUUGAAAGCAACGUUUAAGUUGGGAAGGUAAGGUUUGUAACUUUAAUACGUUGACUAACGUUUGAACGUUACCGAACAGUAAUAAGCAACCGGUCUAACGUUCGUAGCCAGCA
This 507-nucleotide ribosomal RNA is filed under the name uncultured soil bacterium. Its description in RNAcentral is "bacterial SSU rRNA". It matches the Rfam family "Bacterial small subunit ribosomal RNA", at positions 26 to 513 of the family's 1533-position model. The record is from RNAcentral.